AUCAGAAUCUUUUUCCUUCUGUGACUUGGUAGCAACAGUGUGUAAAGCCAAGGCCACCGUGAAGCGGUGGGGGAAAUUUGGGCACCCGCAGACCUUGGCAGACACACUAUGCUAUUUUCAGACUUGCGGAGCCUUUGCACUGCCUCCCUGUCAUCCUCACCUGUCUCUGGUCUGAAAGUCCAUUUUAACUCUGCUUUCUUGGAGGCAGAAACAAGCAUGUGACAGGAUGCAGAGAAUUACUCCUGGCUUUGAUGUCUCUUCAACAGCUUGAUGAAACCUGGUUUUUCCACCUGUCUUCACUUCUCCAAGCCUUACCUGCAAGCGCUUCCGUGAAAGCCCCCAGCACACCAUCUCUGGGAUGUGGAAGCUUAGGAGGGGAGAAUUAAAAAAACAAAACGAAGGUAACAGUAAUCAAGAUCCAAACUUAGAAAACAUUUCUUGAAGUGACAUUAUCUGC
RNAcentral lists this long non-coding RNA (457 nucleotides) under Homo sapiens (human). RNAcentral's name for it is "LHRI_LNC1897.1". Lineage: Eukaryota; Metazoa; Chordata; Mammalia; Primates; Hominidae. The record is from RNAcentral.